This is a long non-coding RNA of Vanessa tameamea, 1172 nucleotides long. RefSeq lists it as uncharacterized. NCBI's taxonomy places the organism in Eukaryota, Metazoa, Arthropoda, Insecta, Lepidoptera, Nymphalidae. The transcript has 2 exons. The record is from RefSeq and is a predicted model, not a curated record.
UGUAUUCUUGUAGUAUUUAAUAUAAUGUGGUAGAAUGUAAGUAUAUAAAAAUUCGAAUUUUAUCAAUGAUCAAGACUUAUUGGCAAAUAUUUUUAUGGCAUAGUGUGAUUUUUAAACUGGUCUAAAAUUUUCUUAUAUUGUCCCAGAAGAAAACACUAGUAUAGUUUUAAAAGAGGCUGAAUUAUCAUAUAUUAUUUUCUAAAUCGACUAAUGUCCUCUAAGCAAUUGAGUUUUUUAGGUUUAAAAAAAGUAAAAAUAAAUGUAUUUUAUAACAAAAAUAUAUAUAAAAAAAGUGAAUAAAAAAAAUAUGUAAACCAAAUCAAUUUUAAAAUUUACCAUUAUUACUUUACGAUAACAAACAUAAUUUCUUUUGUAAUAAAAUAAUCUUUACAAUUUUUUUAUUGACUUAAUAUCUAGGUAUACAUUUAAUUGUAUACAAAGAAAAAGACCUAAAGAGUAAACACCUUUGAUCAUUUUUAAUUAUCAAAGCAUUUAUUAAAUUCCCAUUGUUAAUAUAUAUGCAUUAUUUUAUUUAAAUAAAAAAAAUGUCGAAUAAUUUACAUUUAGAUCGUGUUAAUAAACAUGAAUUGAAUAGAGUAAAAUAGUGAUUUACAGUUAAUAUCUUUUGACAUUUAUGGUUUAAAAAUGCUGCACAAAUUACUCGACUUGCUAAUAUAUGAUUGAUUUUGAUAUUUUACGAUGUGGUAGUACAGAUUUAACCUUUCUUCAUGUUACAUUUUUUAACUAUGCCUAUAGACAAAAUGAUUAUAGUAUUUUUUCUAUACCUAAGGAGCUGGCAAGAAACAUAUAUUUAUAAUAUGGUCAUGAGGUCGUCAUUUUUAACAUUGAUAAUUGUGCCAACAUGAAGAACCGUUCUUGAAGGUUUAAUCCAAAUCGACUGUCACGGACUUGAAUUAACUAACCAAAUCGAUUCCAAACAUCUGAACUUCUAAAUGAAACGAGUAAUCAUGUACCGAAAUUCUUACUAUCUCUAUAACUACUAAAGGAAAGCAUUUUUUUUAUAAACAGAAGAUUAAUGUGAAGUAAGGUCAGGUUGAAAACAUUUGUCUAUAGAAUUACAUUAUAAUUAAGUCUAAGCUUAUAUGUAUUAAUAUCCUUUCGGAAACAAAUGUAAUUUUGUCAGUUUUUACCUAAUAAAUGUAUUGGUGUCA